This 1333-nucleotide long non-coding RNA is filed under the name Homo sapiens (human). RNAcentral describes it as "long intergenic non-protein coding RNA 2664". Lineage: Eukaryota; Metazoa; Chordata; Mammalia; Primates; Hominidae. The record is from RNAcentral.
UAUAGGGAAAUCUUCACUGCCAAUGUUCUCUAGAUCCUCAGCACUACGCCCUGGCCAGCCCCGAAGUCGUGGAGCCCCCCUCCUGCCCUGGGCUGGCCACCUCUCUCACUGGAUGAGUGAUGUGCUCUGGCUCAAAGGCUGAGGGGGCAGGUGGAGGAUGCCUGCCGCGGAACGUGGGUGCUCCCUCCAUCAGAAUCUUCUCACUGGGAGAGGAUCUGCGGCCGUCACCUGCAGCCCCGGUCCUGGCAGAGCUUUUGGAGAAAAUGAUGCAGAGUCUUGCUAUGUUGCCCAGACUGAUCUUGGACCCCUGAUCUCAAGCGAUCCUCCCACCUUGGCCUUCCAAAGUGCUGGUAUUAUAGGCAUGAGCCACUACACUUGGACCCAAACAGGUCUUUGAGGAAUCACCACACUGUUUUCAACAAUGGCUGAACUAAUUCGCACUCCCACCAACAGUGUGUCUUCGCUGAAACAUGGGCACUCGUGGGAAGUGCUUUCUGUUCCCCAGGCUCAGAGACAGGUCUCCCUAUGGUGUUGCCCAGGCUGGUCUUGAACUCCUAGCCUCAAGUGAUCCUCCUGCUUCAGCCUGCCAAAGUGCUGGAUUACAGGUGUAAGCCACCUCUGGACAUCUUAUCUGUGAAAUUUUAGGCAUUGAUCAGUGCAGAAAGAACCAUGAACUGCAGGAUGUUCUCAGAGACUCUGACAUUAUGGCCCACAAGAAGCUGCCCACUCAGCUUCUAGUCAGUUAGGUGUGGACUUCAUCAAUCACAGAAUGAAGACUCAGACAGCCUCCCAGGAGGACACAAAGUCAGCCUCAGAGAGGCAUGGAGGUGUUAAAGAGGGAAGUGCCUGCUAGAAUUUCAGUGGGUUGGAUAUGCUCUUUAACGAUGCACAAAUCAUAGGUAUACAUUUUCUGACAAUUGGAAUCUAUUAUUACUCUUGAACCAGCUGUUCCCCAGGCUGUUUCCUGUAAUGGAAGGGAUACUUUGAGUUUAUAUCUUUUCAAUCCUACAUCCUCAGAAAUCUACACUGAUACUAAUAAAGGGACUCAUUUCUCCUAUAAGAACCCCUAUGCGAGAAAAGUAUGUUUGGGUAUUGCCUAAUGCACUCAUAAUAAAUAUACACAGCCAUAAAACAGAGUAAAAGUCCUGGUAAGCCUGUUAUUUGCAGUAAUUGUAGAUUGUGAGUGGACAUUUUAAAGAGAAGCUUACAAGUUAGUUGUACUUUCUGGUAGUAAUUACCUCCCACAACAUGACUCACUUCGGCAGUUUAAAUGCAAGAGUUGGGUGUCCCAAAAUCAACAGUUUUAUAAAUAAAUCUCUGAAUCAUGAACUGA